Molecule: ribosomal RNA, 363 nt
Filed under: Salmonella enterica
Lineage: Bacteria; Pseudomonadati; Pseudomonadota; Gammaproteobacteria; Enterobacterales; Enterobacteriaceae
Also listed under: 2 other names
Description: bacterial SSU rRNA
Rfam family: Bacterial small subunit ribosomal RNA
Source: RNAcentral
AAAUUGAAGAGUUUGAUCAUGGCUCAGAUUGAACGCUGGCGGCAGGCCUAACACAUGCAAGUCGAACGGUAACAGGAAGCAGCUUGCUGCUUCGCUGACGAGUGGCGGACGGGUGAGUAAUGUCUGGGAAACUGCCUGAUGGAGGGGGAUAACUACUGGAAACGGUGGCUAAUACCGCAUAACGUCGCAAGACCAAAGAGGGGGACCUUCGGGCCUCUUGCCAUCAGAUGUGCCCAGAUGGGAUUAGCUAGUUGGUGAGGUAACGGCUCACCAAGGCGACGAUCCCUAGCUGGUCUGAGAGGAUGACCAGCCACACUGGAACUGAGACACGGUCCAGACUCCUACGGGAGGCAGCAGUGGGGA